AGCGAACGCUGGCGGCAGGCCUAACACAUGCAAGUCGAACGAACCUUUCGGGGUUAGUGGCGGACGGGUGAGUAACACGUGGGAACGUGCCUUUAGGUUCGGAAUAACUCAGGGAAACUUGUGCUAAUACCGGAUGUGCCCUUCGGGGGAAAGAUUUAUCGCCUUUAGAGCGGCCCGCGUCUGAUUAGCUAGUUGGUUGAGGUAAUGGCUCACCAAGGCGACGAUCAGUAGCUGGUCUGAGAGGAUGAUCAGCCACAUUGGGACUGAGACACGGCCCAAACUCCUACGGGAGGCAGCAGUGGGGAAUCUUGCGCAAUGGGCGAAAGCCUGACGCAGCCAUGCCGCGUGAAUGAUGUAGGUCUUAGGAUUGUAAAAUUCUUUCACCGGGGACGAUAAUGACGGUACCCGGAGAAGAAGCCCCGGCUAACUUCGUG
RNAcentral lists this ribosomal RNA (434 nucleotides) under uncultured bacterium. RNAcentral's name for it is "partial 16S ribosomal RNA". It matches the Rfam family "Bacterial small subunit ribosomal RNA", at positions 29 to 507 of the family's 1533-position model. The record is from RNAcentral.